GAUGACGUCACAGUCACAUUUUUGCACACACACACAAGUUCCCCUACUCCACCUCUGGACCUUUCAUGGCAGGAAAGCCCCAUCGUUUUGCAACACGCAUGCUGGCUUGUAAUACGCAUGAAAACAACUGCAUAUGUGCCUUGGCAGACGGGCCUUUUCCGCCUCAUUCCUGGAAUUGGUGUGACCAGUCUUAUUGGAGAAAGAGAGUUCGGCUAACCAGGAAGUGCCAACUUGGGAACUUUUGGAGGAAGGAAAUCACAGAUGCGUCAAGAACAGGAAGACUGAUUAGCCAUGCAGAAUUCCUGGAAGAGUCUGGCUAUGGUCCAUCCUGGGGCCGACACAGCGCAUGAAGGGGGCUCGGUGGAGAAGAUGGUUAGCACAUUGACCUGAACACAUGGAAAUAAUCAUCUCCAUCACUGUCAUUGUUUUUGACCAAGAGGAAUUUGUGGAACGUUGGCUUGAUCCUGCUUCUGUCAUUUCAUAGGUCAUUUCAGUUGUGACUUG
Colossoma macropomum (tambaqui) is the source of this 504-nucleotide long non-coding RNA. RefSeq lists it as uncharacterized. The record is from RefSeq and is a predicted model, not a curated record. The transcript has 3 exons. Lineage: Eukaryota; Metazoa; Chordata; Actinopteri; Characiformes; Serrasalmidae.